Molecule: non-coding RNA, 29 nt
Filed under: Rattus norvegicus (Norway rat)
Lineage: Eukaryota; Metazoa; Chordata; Mammalia; Rodentia; Muridae
Source: RNAcentral
UAGUAACAUUUGUAGUGCAGGUGCCAGGG